GAGCCCACAGACAGAUCCUCAACGAUAGUAACGGCCAGGAAAUGCCCUCCCCGCGUAUCUCAACAACAGCCGACGGCCAAACAGAAGAAGCGAAAGACCCACCACCGCCACCACCGCCUUCUGUCAUAAGAUUUUUCUCGACCACUUAAGUCGGUUGUGGACCUGUCAUACUAACAACUCACCUUAUAAAUUCCAAUCCUCUUGCCUCACCCAACAUUUUUCUUUGCGGAUUUUUUUCUACUUCUGUGUCUAUAGCUUACGCCAAAUCCAACCCCUCCCUGAAUCCAUGAAUCCGAGAGACAAUCCCUAUUUGGAUCGGCAAGAAUCCCCUCCACCUCCCUAUCAGUCUGAGGCGCCUGCCACUGAGGCAGUCCAACCCAAAACGGAACCGUUUUCAGUGGGUUCACAACCAUUCCCUUCUGGGUCUCCUUUACUACAAAUUCGACCCAUUUCUUCUCUGGAACCACCUUUCUCAGGUGAACCCAUUGUGACUGGAGGGGUUGCAGCUGAGGCUGAAGCUGAAGCAGAGGAAAUUGGUGCUCCUCAGCCUCUUGAUUGUCUACAGGACAAUCCAAUUCCACCGUUUUUGUCAAAGACUUUUGACAUUGUGGAUGACGUUUUGCUGGACCCCAUAGUUUCGUGGGGCCCUACUGGCGAGAGCUUUGUGGUUUGGGACCCUGUGGAGUUCUCCAGGCUUGUACUUCCUCGAAAUUUCAAGCACAACAAUUUCUCCAGUUUUGUUCGGCAACUAAAUACUUAUGGUUUCCGCAAGAUUGAUUCUGAUAAGUGGGAGUUUGCCAAUGAAGGUUUCAUGCGAGGGAAGAGGCAUCUCUUGAAGAACAUCCGUAGGCGCAAGUCACCUCUAUCCCAGCACACUGGAAGCUAUGCUGGGCCUUCUUCUGAAAUAGCAAUGUCAGGAUUGGAAAGUGAGGUAGAGAGGUUAAGGAAGCAGAAGAGUUUGUUGAUGCAGGAGGUUAUAGAAUUGCAGCAACAGCAUCGUGGAACAAUUCACCAAAUGGAAGUAGUUAAUGAAAGGAUCCAGGCAGCAGAGAAGAGGCAGAAGAAAAUGGUCUCAUUCUUGGCAAAGUUGCUUCAGAACCCAGAAUUUUUAGCCCGCCUUUUGCCCAAGGACGACCAAAGAGAUAUUGGUGUGCCAAGGAUGAUGAGGAAGUUUGUCAAGCAUCAGCAACUUGAACCUGGUAAAUCAGACUCAUCCAUGGGAGGGCAGAUUGUGAAGUACAGACCUGGUUCAGAAAAUCUGAUUACAUCCUCCUUAUUCCCACCUUCAAAUCCAGACUCAUGUGAACAAUUUCCCAAUGAUUGCUUACAAGUUAUUGCAGGGAAACUGGAUUUAGGUAUGGAAAGUGUGCCAUUCGGAACUGGGAAAGUCUCAUCAGAUGAACUAGCAGCAGUAGCUCAUAAACUUAUUAAAGCUCCAGAGCAGGUCAGAGAGGAAGCGGCCAGUUUGGGACCUGUAGAUCUCGUAUUUAAAGGAAAGAAUCUAGUGAGUUCCCAACCAGAAGGAAGCACCAACUAUAAUCUGUCUUUCAUAGAUGAUUCAGCAAAGGAGAAGGCUUUUCCUGAAUUCUUGUCCCCUGGGAUUGACGGCAUUAUAAAACAAGCGGAUAUAUGGAGCAUGGGCUUUGACGACAGUGGUGAUAUGACUAGUUCUUGUGGUGAGUUAUGGGGUAAUGUUACCAACUAUGAUGUUCCAGACUUAGGACUCACAGGUGGGAUAUCAGAUAUCUGGGAUUUAGGUUCCCUGCAAGCAGCAGAAGGUUUGGGAAUUGAUAGAUGGGCAGCUGAUGAAUCCACUUUUAAUGCACCUGAGAAUCAAGCAGACCAGCCAAAGGACUAUACUUCCAAGAAUACAUAUCCAUAGGGCUUCAUUGCUUCAGCACUCCUUUGCCCUUUUUGAUGCCAGUUAAUUUUUAGUUGGCUGGCCAUUAAAUUGGAAAUUUUAUCUAUAAAUAUAUUCAUUUCAUUAUUGGCUUCCAUUCUUUUCUUUCUUCUUUUUCCAAAAUUUCAUUAAUUCAUUUCUCAUCUGCUAAUUCAUCUAUGAUUAGGUGGAUAGUCAUAUGAGCUAGUAGAUUUUCUCGCUAACAUAUGCUUUUUAAGUUCAUGAAAUUCUGCAGGUAUUUAUGCCGUGAGAUAAGGUGUCAAUCUCCAGUUUUGUUUGGUUCCGCAUUUUCAAUUUCCUCUCUGGCAUGUCUAGUGCAAGAUAUCUUUUGUUGCAAUUUGGUUAUUUUGACCUUAUAGUUGCCUUACUACUUUUAUCUUGUGCAGUAAGUUGGAAGGUGGACUGUCUUGCUUGCCUUCAGAUGGAAGGAUUCUUUUAGAUGAAUUGGAUGAAUUGAUGGUCCACAUAUUUUUUGUUGGAAGCAUCAAGCCCUGAAUGUUAGAAGCAACCAACCUUCCAGGGGUAAUGAACAGAGUGACAGGGCUGUUAAGCGAGUGGAUCCUGUCCUGUAUGAGUGCAUUUGUAUAAUAUUCAAAAUGCCAUUUACUACUUCUUGCAGAUACCAUGUCUAAUCUAUGUAGCAAUCAUGUUAUGGUUCAUCGAAAUUGGAUUUAA
Molecule: RNA transcript, 2575 nt
Organism: Vitis riparia (riverbank grape)
Lineage: Eukaryota; Viridiplantae; Streptophyta; Magnoliopsida; Vitales; Vitaceae
Gene name: heat stress transcription factor A-3
Exons: 3
Source: RefSeq, a predicted model, not a curated record